Molecule: ribosomal RNA, 675 nt
Filed under: Bacillus subtilis
Lineage: Bacteria; Bacillati; Bacillota; Bacilli; Caryophanales; Bacillaceae
Description: bacterial SSU rRNA
Rfam family: Bacterial small subunit ribosomal RNA
Source: RNAcentral
GCGUAAAGGGCUCGCAGGCGGUUUCUUAAGUCUGAUGUGAAAGCCCCCGGCUCAACCGGGGAGGGUCAUUGGAAACUGGGGAACUUGAGUGCAGAAGAGGAGAGUGGAAUUCCACGUGUAGCGGUGAAAUGCGUAGAGAUGUGGAGGAACACCAGUGGCGAAGGCGACUCUCUGGUCUGUAACUGACGCUGAGGAGCGAAAGCGUGGGGAGCGAACAGGAUUAGAUACCCUGGUAGUCCACGCCGUAAACGAUGAGUGCUAAGUGUUAGGGGGUUUCCGCCCCUUAGUGCUGCAGCUAACGCAUUAAGCACUCCGCCUGGGGAGUACGGUCGCAAGACUGAAACUCAAAGGAAUUGACGGGGGCCCGCACAAGCGGUGGAGCAUGUGGUUUAAUUCGAAGCAACGCGAAGAACCUUACCAGGUCUUGACAUCCUCUGACAAUCCUAGAGAUAGGACGUCCCCUUCGGGGGCAGAGUGACAGGUGGUGCAUGGUUGUCGUCAGCUCGUGUCGUGAGAUGUUGGGUUAAGUCCCGCAACGAGCGCAACCCUUGAUCUUAGUUGCCAGCAUUCAGUUGGGCACUCUAAGGUGACUGCCGGUGACAAACCGGAGGAAGGUGGGGAUGACGUCAAAUCAUCAUGCCCCUUAUGACCUGGGCUACACACGUGCUACAAUGG